GAGUUUGAUCUUGGCUCAGAGCGAACGCUGGCGGCAGGCUUAACACAUGCAAGUCGAGCGGGCGUAGCAAUACGUCAGCGGCAGACGGGUGAGUAACACGUGGGAACGUACCUUUUGGUUCGGAACAACUGAGGGAAACGUUCAGCUAAUACCGGAUAAGCCCUAACGGGAAAGGAUUAUCGCCGAAAGAUCGGCCCGCGUCUGAUUAGCUAGUUGGUGAGGUAAUGGCUCACCAAGGCGACGAUCAGUAGCUGGUCUGAGAGGAUGAUCAGCCACACUGGGACUGAGACACGGCCCAGACUCCUACGGGAGGCAGCAGUGGGGAAUAUUGGACAAUGGGGGCGAACCCUGAUCCAGCCAUGCCGCGUGAGUGAUGAAGG
This 380-nucleotide ribosomal RNA is filed under the name uncultured microorganism. Its description in RNAcentral is "bacterial SSU rRNA". It matches the Rfam family "Bacterial small subunit ribosomal RNA", at positions 9 to 414 of the family's 1533-position model. The record is from RNAcentral.